Molecule: unclassified non-coding RNA, 428 nt
Filed under: plant metagenome
Description: partial contains 5.8S ribosomal RNA, internal transcribed spacer 2, and large subunit ribosomal RNA
Rfam family: Bacterial small subunit ribosomal RNA
Source: RNAcentral
GGAAUCUUCCGCAAUGGACGAAAGUCUGACGGAGCAACGCCGCGUGAGUGAAGAAGGUUUUCGGAUCGUAAAGCUCUGUUGUUAGGGAAGAACAAGUACCGUUCGAAUAGGGCGGUACCUUGACGGUACCUAACCAGAAAGCCACGGCUAACUACGUGCCAGCAGCCGCGGUAAUACGUAGGUGGCAAGCGUUGUCCGGAAUUAUUGGGCGUAAAGGGCUCGCAGGCGGUUUCUUAAGUCUGAUGUGAAAGCCCCCGGCUCAACCGGGGAGGGUCAUUGGAAACUGGGGAACUUGAGUGCAGAAGAGGAGAGUGGAAUUCCACGUGUAGCGGUGAAAUGCGUAGAGAUGUGGAGGAACACCAGUGGCGAAGGCGACUCUCUGGUCUGUAACUGACGCUGAGGAGCGAAAGCGUGGGGAGCGAACAGGA